CAGUCGCCGCGGUAAUACGUAGGUGGCAAGCGUUGUCCGGAAUUAUUGGGCGUAAAGCGCGCGCAGGUGGUUUAAUAAGUCUGAUGUGAAAGCCCACGGCUCAACCGUGGAGGGUCAUUGGAAACUGUUAAACUUGAGUGCAGGAGAGAAAAGUGGAAUUCCUAGUGUAGCGGUGAAAUGCGUAGAGAUUAGGAGGAACACCAGUGGCGAAGGCGGCUUUUGGCCUGUAACUGACACUGAGGCGCGAAAGCGUGGGGAGCAAACAGGAUUAGAUACCCCGGUAGUCCCUGUCUCUUAUACC
This 301-nucleotide ribosomal RNA is filed under the name uncultured bacterium. RNAcentral's name for it is "partial 16S ribosomal RNA". It matches the Rfam family "Bacterial small subunit ribosomal RNA", at positions 509 to 808 of the family's 1533-position model. The record is from RNAcentral.